UGCUUUUUCCAUCACUAAAUAUGAUUAACAAUAACAGCGUAGAUAUGGACUACAUUCGUUCUAUAUGGGAAUGCUUAGCAUCCAUUUGUAAUUGUUGGCAUUGUACAGAUGACCUUGGCAGUCAAGGCAUUGAACCCAGCGAAAGGACGCAUCUUCUUGCGGAUUCUGUUAAUCAAAGUCCAGCUUUGCGGCGAAGUAACUCAGCUGAUUUAAGCAAUGAUUAUUCUCAAUCACUACCAAAGAAGGAUGACCAAAAUGCGUUAUCAAGAUUGGUGCAAAAUACUGCAAUCAACAUGAUCAAUGUGGGAGCCCUGGAUUCUCACACCUUGGAACAUCAAGAGUAUUCAGAUAGGAUUAAAUUAUAUUCACAGCGUCUUCAACAGCAAUGGAACAACAUUCAACACCCUGGCUUUGUACAAAAAGGCCUAUUAAAGGACGUACCCAACCAUCAAUCUUAUAUAUCAAAAGGUAUUCAUUUAGAUGAUACUGCUCAGGUGGCAUCCUGAUCCCUGCGUAGAGCUGCUUUUCUCAUUAUUUACAUACCCACGCACGAUAUGCCACUUCUUUCGAGUGUGUUUAGCAGGAAAGUGUCCUGCACAAACUCAAACACUCUGACACACCAUACAUAUUGAUGGACACUUCUCCACAAGUACACAAAUCGGAUAAGAUGCGAAUAUUUAUACAAAAAUCCGUCGCCGCUGUAUUAAGUAUACAAGUUGAUCAUAGAGAAGCGGUUGUAGUUCCGUUUGAAAUCCCUUAAAAAUAAAUAAUAACCCUUUGUGUGGUGUUAAUAUGUAUUCUUAUGUUAAACAUAUAAUAAUAACUAGAUUCAACUUAUAAUGUUGUC
Molecule: RNA transcript, 847 nt
Organism: Drosophila mojavensis
Lineage: Eukaryota; Metazoa; Arthropoda; Insecta; Diptera; Drosophilidae
Gene: Lamtor1
Exons: 6
Source: RefSeq, a predicted model, not a curated record